This 548-nucleotide ribosomal RNA is filed under the name fungal yeast sp. Urf1687. RNAcentral's name for it is "eukaryotic LSU rRNA". It matches the Rfam family "Eukaryotic large subunit ribosomal RNA", at positions 47 to 600 of the family's 3401-position model. The record is from RNAcentral. Lineage: Eukaryota; Fungi.
UAAGCGGAGGAAAAGAAACUAACAAGGAUUCCCCUAGUAGCGGCGAGCGAAGCGGGAAGAGCUCAAAUUUAUAAUCUGGCACCUUCGGUGUCCGAGUUGUAAUCUCUAGAAGUGUUUUCCGCGUUGGACCGCACACAAGUCUGUUGGAAUACAGCGGCAUAGUGGUGAAACCCCCGUAUAUGGUGCGGACGCCCAGCGCUUUGUGAUACACUUUCAAUGAGUCGAGUUGUUUGGGAAUGCAGCUCAAAUUGGGUGGUAAAUUCCAUCUAAAGCUAAAUAUUGGCGAGAGACCGAUAGCGAACAAGUACCGUGAGGGAAAGAUGAAAAGCACUUUGGAAAGAGAGUUAACAGUACGUGAAAUUGUUGGAAGGGAAACGCUUGAAGUCAGACUUGCUUGCCGGAGCUUGCUUCGGUUUGCAGGCCAGCAUCAGUUUUCCGGGGUGGAUAAUGACGGUUUGAAGGUAGCAGUCUCGGCUGUGUUAUAGCUUUCCGUUGGAUACAUCCUGGGGGACUGAGGAACGCAGCGUGCUUUUGCGAAAGACUCGUCU